This 939-nucleotide ribosomal RNA is filed under the name uncultured bacterium. Its description in RNAcentral is "bacterial SSU rRNA". It matches the Rfam family "Bacterial small subunit ribosomal RNA", at positions 53 to 984 of the family's 1533-position model. The record is from RNAcentral.
ACAUGCAAGUCGAGGGGCAGCGGGAUUGAAGCUUGCUUCAAUUGCCGGCGACCGGCGCACGGGUGAGUAACGCGUAUCCAACCUUCCGUACACUCAGGGAUAGCCUUUCGAAAGAAAGAUUAAUACCUGAUGGUAUGAUGAGAUUGCAUGAUAGCAUCAUUAAAGAUUUAUCGGUGUACGAUGGGGAUGCGUUCCAUUAGGUAGUAGGCGGGGUAACGGCCCACCUAGCCAACGAUGGAUAGGGGUUCUGAGAGGAAGGUCCCCCACAUUGGAACUGAGACACGGUCCAAACUCCUACGGGAGGCAGCAGUGAGGAAUAUUGGUCAAUGGACGAGAGUCUGAACCAGCCAAGUAGCGUGAAGGAUGAAGGUCUUACGGAUUGUAAACUUCUUUUAUAAGGGAAUAAAACCUCCCACGUGUGGGAGCUUGUAUGUACCUUAUGAAUAAGCAUCGGCUAACUCCGUGCCAGCAGCCGCGGUAAUACGGAGGAUGCGAGCGUUAUCCGGAUUUAUUGGGUUUAAAGGGAGCGCAGACGGGUCGUUAAGUCAGCUGUGAAAGUUUGGGGCUCAACCUUAAAAUUGCAGUUGAUACUGGCGUCCUUGAGUGCGGUUGAGGUGUGCGGAAUUCGUGGUGUAGCGGUGAAAUGCUUAGAUAUCACGAAGAACUCCGAUUGCGAAGGCAGCACACUAAGCCGUAACUGACGUUCAUGCUCGAAAGUGUGGGUAUCAAACAGGAUUAGAUACCCUGGUAGUCCACACGGUAAACGAUGGAUACUCGCUGUUGGCGAUAUACGGUCAGCGGCUUAGCGAAAGCGUUAAGUAUCCCACCUGGGGAGUACGCCGGCAACGGUGAAACUCAAAGGAAUUGACGGGGGCCCGCACAAGCGGAGGAACAUGUGGUUUAAUUCGAUGAUACGCGAGGAACCUUACCCGGGCUUAA